Molecule: long non-coding RNA, 1116 nt
Filed under: Pogona vitticeps (central bearded dragon)
Lineage: Eukaryota; Metazoa; Chordata; Lepidosauria; Squamata; Agamidae
Description: lncRNA (ENSPVIG00000002927.1)
Source: RNAcentral
AUGGUGAGUACAGGAAAAGAUGGAUACAGCUACAGACAAGGCAGAGUUCUAUUCUGUUGUUAUUGGCCGGUAUGCAUCAGGACAAGAGUCAAAAUAGCCUUUAUUAGCAAUAAGUCAAAGCAGACCAAUCUUGCAUUUCCUUCCUUCCACAGCCCCCACGGCAGCAGUUCUUCCAUUCGGCAGGGCACGUCCCGGAACUCGCUGAGCCUAAUGGAGCGGCUCACUAUUCCUCUGGGAGCCCUGGACUUCGAGGGAGCGACCACCCCAUCGCCGCCGCGGCAAGCAUCUAAGGCCCCGGAGAAGCCCAAGAAAAAGCAGGCCUCCAAAGCGGGAAGUAAACCACCCCCCACUAAGGCCCCAUCCAAAGCCAGGGAGGGCUCCAAGAGGGGCAAGCCACAUGCCUCUGACGAGCGGCCAGCGGCGAAAGAGGGACAUUGGGAGAUCCCACCUCCCUCACCUACGUCACCGUCCCCGCUUCUGGAGAACCCCGCGCGGGACCGCGAUCACCACCCAGAUGCGGCGGAGCCUUUCCCCCGCAGGCGGACAGAGGCACUCCCAACACAGCCGAGCUCACCUCCCUUGCCUAGCCAGCUAGAGGGUGGAUCCCGUACUAGCGCAGCUUCUGCCCUUUUCGCCCCUGCUUUAGCCGGGCGGGCGUUACCACCUCCUCCCUCACCAUCUAUCUCCUCCGGGCGAUCCUCUCCCCCCCACAAGCGGACGGAGAAGAGAAAGCACGUGCGCCCAGAGUACAGAAGACACCACCCUGCACGGGAUGUCGAGGGACCCCACUCCCCCCGCCACCGAAGUAGGUCACCAGCACAUGCCCCCAUCUUUAUUGAGGUUGACCGCAGGGGCUUCCGGCACCGCAGGACGUGGGAGGACUCAUCCUCAGAUCACUCGGCAGGCUAUGAGAGGAGCAGGCACUGUAAGAGGGUCCGGUACAUCUACGCUUCCACGUUGCCUUCAUCCUCCUCCCCCUCCCCCCCCGACGCCAGCACAGCCCCCAUUACACCAGGGAAGCUAGCCAUAAGAGGAGCAAGCACCGCAACAUCCACCUCCCCAUGCCAUCUGCACAGGAGGAAAGGGGGAAGGAUACGGACGCGCAGGCAACGCUGA